RNAcentral lists this long non-coding RNA (721 nucleotides) under Pan troglodytes (chimpanzee). RNAcentral's name for it is "lincRNA". Lineage: Eukaryota; Metazoa; Chordata; Mammalia; Primates; Hominidae. The record is from RNAcentral.
CACUCAGCUUUCUGAAAUGGUGUCCCACCGCAAGGACUGGAGAAGGGUAAACCUCAGGUUCUCCUCCUGCCUUUUGCUAAGUAUAUGUCUUGAUGACAAGCCUUCUGCUGAUGAGCUGUGUUUCUGGACCGAUCAUGGUAGAAGUCAAUUAACGUGUCCCUCACUUGGGGUUUCUCAAGGGAGUCUCACUCUGUCGUCCAGGCUGGAGUGCAGUGGCACAAUCUCGGCUCACUGCAAGCUCCGCCUCCCAGGUUCACGCCAUUCUCCUGCCUCAGUCUCCCAACUGCACUGAUGAGGAAACUGAAACAGAAAAUCCAGAGUAAAUUCCACCAGGCCACACAGCAAGGUCUGAUAGAGCCAGGAGAGACUUUAUGAAAUCCAGACUCUCACACUAAUGCUCUAUCAGCUAGACCUCCAUGUGAGUCUCCCCAAUGUAGGUAGGAAGUGCUUUCCCUAAAAUGCUCAUAAAGCAAAUCAGAGCAAUGCUGCAUUCCAUGUGAUUUCUAAUUUGAAAUGCAAACAAUUGCCAAUUUGUUUGACUUGUAUUUAUAAUUAUUUCCUUGUGAAUUACUCAUCACUAAAUGCUUUAUAAAUAUUUUCUCUUUUUUUCCUCAAUGUCUAUGGAAUGAUCACAGCAUAGAAAAUGUUGGCUUUCAAGGAUUUAUUAAUAUCUCCUUUUGAAAUAACAUGUAUUUGUAAGACGGAAUAAAAUCACUUUAAA